This 253-nucleotide ribosomal RNA is filed under the name uncultured bacterium. RNAcentral describes it as "partial 16S ribosomal RNA". It matches the Rfam family "Bacterial small subunit ribosomal RNA", at positions 524 to 776 of the family's 1533-position model. The record is from RNAcentral.
CACGUAGGGUGCGAGCGUUGUCCGGACUUACUGGGCGUAAAGAGCUCGUAGGUGGUUUGUCGCGUUGUUCGUGAAAACUCACAGCUCAACUGUGGGCGUGCGGGCGAUACGGGCAGACUUGAGUACUGCAGGGGAGACUGGAAUUCCUGGUGUAGCGGUGGAAUGCGCAGAUAUCAGGAGGAACACCGGUGGCGAAGGCGGGUCUCUGGGCAGUAACUGACGCUGAGGAGCGAAAGCGUGGGGAGCGAACAGG